AGUGAACGCUGGCGGUAGGCCUAACACAUGCAAGUCGAACGGCAGCACAGUAAGAGCUUGCCCUUACGGGUGGCGAGUGGCGGACGGGUGAGGAAUACAUCGGAAUCUACUUUUUCGUGGGGGAUAACGUAGGGAAACUUACGCUAAUACCGCAUACGACCUACGGGUGAAAGCAGGGGAUCUUCGGACCUUGCGCGAUUGAAUGAGCCGAUGUCGGAUUAGCUAGUUGGCGGGGUAAAGGCCCACCAAGGCGACGAUCCGUAGCUGGUCUGAGAGGAUGAUCAGCCACACUGGAACUGAGACACGGUCCAGACUCCUACGGGAGGCAGCAGUGGGGAAUAUUGGACAAUGGGCGCAAGCCUGAUCCAGCCAUACCGCGUGCGUGAAGAAGGCCUUCGGGUUGUAAAGCCCUUUUGUAGGGAAAGAAAAGCAGCAUGUUAAUACCGGGGUGUUCUGACGGUACCGAAAGAAUAAGCACCGGCUAACUUCGUG
RNAcentral lists this ribosomal RNA (492 nucleotides) under uncultured bacterium. Its description in RNAcentral is "partial 16S ribosomal RNA". It matches the Rfam family "Bacterial small subunit ribosomal RNA", at positions 29 to 507 of the family's 1533-position model. The record is from RNAcentral.